RNAcentral lists this transfer RNA (83 nucleotides) under Chloroflexota bacterium. RNAcentral's name for it is "Chloroflexi bacterium tRNA-Leu". It matches the Rfam family "tRNA". From Rfam's summary of the family: Transfer RNA (tRNA) molecules are approximately 80 nucleotides in length. Their secondary structure includes four short double-helical elements and three loops (D, anti-codon, and T loops). Lineage: Bacteria; Bacillati; Chloroflexota. RNAcentral also lists the same sequence under 1 other name. The record is from RNAcentral.
GCCUCGGUGGCGGAAUUGGCAUACGCAGCAGGUUGAGGGCCUGUGCCCGCGAGGGCGUGAGAGUUCGAGUCUCUCCCGAGGCA